This 484-nucleotide ribosomal RNA is filed under the name uncultured bacterium. Its description in RNAcentral is "partial 16S ribosomal RNA". It matches the Rfam family "Bacterial small subunit ribosomal RNA", at positions 30 to 507 of the family's 1533-position model. The record is from RNAcentral.
AUUGAACGCUGGCGGCAGGCCUAACACAUGCAAGUCGAGCGGAUGAAGGGAGCUUGCUCCUGGAUUCAGCGGCGGACGGGUGAGUAAUGCCUAGGAAUCUGCCUGGUAGUGGGGGAUAACGUCCGGAAACGGGCGCUAAUACCGCAUACGUCCUGAGGGAGAAAGUGGGGGAUCUUCGGACCUCACGCUAUCAGAUGAGCCUAGGUCGGAUUAGCUAGUUGGUGGGGUAAAGGCCUACCAAGGCGACGAUCCGUAACUGGUCUGAGAGGAUGAUCAGUCACACUGGAACUGAGACACGGUCCAGUCUCCUACGGGAGGCAGCAGUGGGGAAUAUUGGACAAUGGGCGAAAGCCUGAUCCAGCCAUGCCGCGUGUGUGAAGAAGGUCUUCGGAUUGUAAAGCACUUUAAGUUGGGAGGAAGGGCAGUAAGUUAAUACCUUGCUGUUUUGACGUUACCAACAGAAUAAGCACCGACUAACUUCGUG